UACGAGUGGCUCAAGCGUUAUCCGGAAUUAUUGGGCGUAAAGGAUGUGUAGGUGGUUAUAUUAGUCGAAUGUCUACUUCCGGGCUUUACCUGGAUUCAGCAUUCGAAACGGUAUGACUAGAGUAUGUUAGGGGUGAGCGGAACUCAUAGUGUAGGGGUGAAAUCCGUUGAUAUUAUGGGGAACACCAAAAGCGAAGGCAGCUACACUGGGACAUUCACU
This 219-nucleotide ribosomal RNA is filed under the name uncultured bacterium. RNAcentral's name for it is "partial 16S ribosomal RNA". It matches the Rfam family "Bacterial small subunit ribosomal RNA", at positions 524 to 741 of the family's 1533-position model. The record is from RNAcentral.